GUAGGGAAUCUUCCACAAUGGACGCAAGUCUGAUGGAGCAACGCCGCGUGAGUGAAGAAGGUUUUCGGACCGUAAAGCUCUGUUGUUGGUGAAGAAGGAUAGAGGUAGUAACUGGCCUUUAUUUGACGGUAAUCAACCAGAAAGUCACGGCUAACUACGUGCCAGCAGCCGCGGUAAUACGUAGGUGGCAAGCGUUGUCCGGAUUUAUUGGGCGUAAAGCGAGCGCAGGCGGAAGAAUAAGUCUGAUGUGAAAGCCCUCGGCUUAACCGAGGAAUUGCAUCGGAAACUGUUUUCUGAGUGCAGAAGAGGAGAGUAGAACUCCAUGUGUAGCGGUGGAAUGCGUAGAUAUAUGGAAGAAUACCAGUGGCGAAGGCGGCUCUCUGGUCUGCAACUGACGCUGAGGCUCGAAAGCAUGGGUAGCGAACAGGAUUAGAUACCCUUGGUAGUCCAUGC
This 453-nucleotide ribosomal RNA is filed under the name uncultured bacterium. Its description in RNAcentral is "partial 16S ribosomal RNA". It matches the Rfam family "Bacterial small subunit ribosomal RNA", at positions 354 to 800 of the family's 1533-position model. The record is from RNAcentral.